CCUCAGACCAAGGAGACCUGCCUACAGCUGCAUUCCACCCACAUCGUUGUCUAAAUCUCCAAAGUCCUCUGGCCCCCACCUGUGCCAUCUUUGAUAACCGGACUCACUCUGUAGGCAAUCAAGGCCGGGGCUCUAGAACUCUCACACCAUGAUAUUUACUUGCCUUUCUAUCUGGAUGGUGAGAGUUUCCAACAAAGUCUUUGAAAAAGAAGCAAAGCAAGUAAGAACGCCUUGUUCAAUAGCUUCAGAUGGCCAUGUGUCCAUAGCAUCGCCUCAAGAGCCGGGCUACUAUUCCCGCUUACAAAUGAGGAGACUUAAGGCUCAGAGAGAUUAAAUGAGCUGCCUAAUGUCACAAGACUAAGCAGAGUCAGAACUAGAAUCCAAGUCCCUGCUCUUCUCAAUAUGAGGAAUACACCAAUCACCAGACGUGGGCUAUCCCCAAGGAGGAGCGCAUCCUAGAGCAAGGUGGCUCUCCCUGAGACAAGGCUGAGGACAAUUCCAGGGAAAGGGCUCUCUGAGAGCACAACAGCCACCAACAUUCUCCUACCUGGGGACCAAAUGUCCUCUCUGCCCUGAAGUGGCAAUCUGGGUGAUUGCCUCUACAGAUACAUAAUCAAGUCUCUCUUCUGCUCUCAACACAAAACAGGAAGCUUUACAGAUAACCUGUUUGAAGAAUGAUUCUCUCAGAGUCGAGGCUUUAUGUUCUCAAGAGACUGAGAACUCCAAUCUGUCAGAACUCAGAGGGAACUGCCUUCAAGCUAAUCACUAGGGACCAUCU
Long non-coding RNA from Callorhinus ursinus (northern fur seal), 778 nucleotides. RefSeq lists it as uncharacterized. Lineage: Eukaryota; Metazoa; Chordata; Mammalia; Carnivora; Otariidae. The record is from RefSeq and is a predicted model, not a curated record.